RNAcentral lists this ribosomal RNA (784 nucleotides) under uncultured Sphingobacteriia bacterium. RNAcentral's name for it is "bacterial SSU rRNA". It matches the Rfam family "Bacterial small subunit ribosomal RNA", at positions 71 to 853 of the family's 1533-position model. The record is from RNAcentral. Lineage: Bacteria; Pseudomonadati; Bacteroidota; Sphingobacteriia.
GGGGCGUAGCAAUACGCUCGCUGGCGACCGGCAAACGGGUGCGGAACACGUACACAACCUUCCUUGAAGUGGGGAAUAGCCCGGGGAAACCCGGAUUAAUACCCCGUAAUAUAAUGAAGCGGCAUCGUUUUAUUAUUAAAGCUCCGGCGCUUUAAGAUGGGUGUGCGACUGAUUAGGCAGUUGGCGGGGUAACGGCCCACCAAACCUACGAUCAGUAACUGGUGUGAGAGCACGACCAGUCACACGGGCACUGAGACACGGGCCCGACUCCUACGGGAGGCAGCAGUAAGGAAUAUUGGUCAAUGGACGCAAGUCUGAACCAGCCAUGCCGCGUGGAGGAUGAAGGUCCUCUGGAUUGUAAACUUCUUUUAUCUGGGAAGAAACCCAUGAAUUCUUUUGUGGUUGACGGUACCAGAUGAAUAAGCACCGGCUAACUCCGUGCCAGCAGCCGCGGUAAUACGGAGGGUGCAAGCGUUAUCCGGAUUCACUGGGUUUAAAGGGUGCGUAGGUGGGUUGGUAAGUCAGUGGUGAAAUCUCCAGGCUUAACUUGGAAACUGCCAUUGAUACUAUCAAUCUUGAAUACCGUGGAGGUCAGCGGAAUAUGUCAUGUAGCGGUGAAAUGCUUAGAUAUGACAUAGAACACCAAUUGCGAAGGCAGCUGGCUACACGGAUAUUGACACUGAUGCACGAAAGCGUGGGGAUCAAACAGGAUUAGAUACCCUGGUAGUCCACGCCCUAAACGAUGGAUACUCGACAUACGCGAUAUACUGUGUGUGUCUGAGCG